Molecule: RNA transcript, 2212 nt
Organism: Morone saxatilis (striped sea-bass)
Lineage: Eukaryota; Metazoa; Chordata; Actinopteri; Moronidae
Gene: cd276
Gene name: CD276 molecule
Exons: 10
Source: RefSeq, a predicted model, not a curated record
GGACAAAGCAGCAAGGAGUGGUUUCUGUGAAGAGAAGCGCCCCAAAUCAAUGGCUCAUACCCAUACACUCUGAAAAAUCCCCCCUACAGCUUUCUCCACCGUCAAAAACAAAGUGUGUGUGCGUCGGCAGCGGUUCUACUUGUGCUUUUUUCAAGAGGAAUGAACUACUCUGGAAAAUAACCUCGGCUGUGCUGCUGGUCAGAGAAGAGAGUCGCCGCCGCUGGAUGGUGGCUGCUUUUUAAGUUUCGCCUUCCUAACAUGCGCUGUGUCUGAAGAAGUUGACCUGCGGUUUGAAUCCACUCUGGAAGACCAUGCUGUCCCUCCUGCUCCCCGCAAUGCUGGCCGUCCAAGCUAUGGCUGUGAUGGAAGUGCACGUCCCGGAGCAGCCAGUGGUGGCUCUGCACGGCAGGGAUGCCACACUCAACUGCUCCUUCAGCCUUGCCACCCCCUUCAACCUGACUGAUCUGACCGUCUUCUGGCAGCUGACAGACACCAAACGCAGUGUGCACGGGUACAGGGAGGGACACGACCAGCUGGCGGACCAGGCCGAGAGCUUCGCCAACCGUACCAGCCUGUUCCCCGCCCAGCUGGGCCUGGGCAACACUUCGCUCCUGUUGCGCAGGGUGGUGGUGGCUGACGAAGGCAGCUAUACCUGCUUCGUCAGGGUGCAGGACUACGGCAGUGCUGCUUUGCUGCUCCAGGUUGCCGCCCCCUACUCCAAGCCCAUAGUGACUUUGGAGCCCGAAUCCAAUCUGCGUCCAGGUGAUGAGGUAGCCCUGACUUGUGCGGCCUACGGCGGUUAUCCUCAAGCUGACGUGGUAUGGCAGGAUGGGGGCGGGCGCAACCUGACGGACAAUAUCACCAAUUCAGUGGUGGCCAAUGAGGAAGGGCUGUUCACUAUGACCAGCGUGCUGACAGUUGUGCUGGAGCCCAAUAGCACCUACAGCUGCCGACUGAUCAAUCCACUACUAGGAGAGGAGGGCUACGCCUCUGUCACAAUCACAGGUCAGAACAUUGCGUUCCCCCCGGUGGCUCUGUGGGUAACUGUUGGCCUGGCCGUGUGUCUGCUGGUUCUGCUCAUUGCCUUGGCUGCUGUGUGCCGCAGGAAGAUCAAGGAGAGCUGCGAGGAAGCCAGGAGAGAAGAUUGAAGUUGACUCUCUCUUCACUGUGUCUGGGUAGCGAGGGUGGAGGGGUCAGUAAAAGUGGAGAAGUGACUGAAGAGGCCAAGGAGCUGGAAGAAGAGGAGUCAAAGACAGCCAUGACACUACUGAAAAGCUAAGGCCAAGAGAAUAAUGCAGUAAUGCUCUGGAGGAAACAGUGUCUCUGGAGGCUAUGGGAGUCGGGCCAGACGGCGGGUAGGAGAUGAGUCUGGCGGGUAAUCCCACUCCACCUAUCCAUCAACCUGGAGACUAUUUCCAGCGUCCCCUACAGAAUGUCAAAGCCUCGCUGAGCAGAAGAUGAGUCCAUCAUCUUCUUUCUAAGACUUUCCCUCGAGUUCCCAUCAAAACACAUAAACACAUCAUGUGCCAUUAUUUUCUAUUGCCCUCCCUCCCUUUCUGUCAAUGGAGGGCCGCGCGCAGUGAGCGAAUGCAGUUGAGUGGGUUGGGUUGUAUGCAGUAUGCAAAAGAGAGACUCUGUUUGAAAACUACAGGAUGUGACAGGAUCCUUUCUCUGUCGCCGACAUCACUCUGUAUGGGUUGUGAUGGGGCAUGUGCCAGAGAUCUCCUGUCUAAUAGGAAGUGAGACACUUAAAGAGAUGACCCUGCCUCAGUUGCCAUCACUGUCUCUCUGCCAGAGAGAGAGCUUGGCUCUCCCAUUACUCCUGCACUUGCUAAUUAGCGUCUGUCGCUGGAGUAACUUGUACCUGUCAGUGUGUGCCGCUCUCCUAUAUUCAGUAACUUGAGGGAAUUGAAAUUGAAUGCCAGCUAAGCUCCAACAAACUGCAAAUGGUGCAUGGGAUACACCCUGAUUUUCUCACUGACCUGACAGCCUUAUAUGUAAGAAAUUGUUUUUAAUGAACACACACUAUCUCGGCUAGUUUCUACUGCUUGUGUGAAGCGUUACAGGCUAGGGGGCUGUACAGGUUGUUUUACUCUAUAUUUUUAGGUACUUGACCAAGUCCUUGUGCCAUAUGUCCAUGUAUGAAUGCCAAAGCCAUUUGUGUCAGAUAACCCAGUGCCUAUUUACAUUAAAGAGACAUGGUGAAACUGCC